Gastrolobium bilobum is the source of this 1058-nucleotide long non-coding RNA. RefSeq lists it as uncharacterized. The record is from RefSeq and is a predicted model, not a curated record. NCBI's taxonomy places the organism in Eukaryota, Viridiplantae, Streptophyta, Magnoliopsida, Fabales, Fabaceae. The transcript has 5 exons.
UAGAAACUACAAUUAGAGUUAGGUGUUCUUUCUCUGGAUCUCAUGAUUGUCUUUAUGGAUGAACUGGUCUGAGAUCCAAGUUGAUUCCUAAGGUCCUCAACCUGUUGGAUCGUGAAUGGUGUAGCUGCAAAGCACUCCCUUGUCUGAUCAACAUAAAUCGCGAUCUGUCUGAAUCCCGUUGUUUGGUGGCUUCCCAAUCUGGAGACAAGCAAUUGGUGGGACUGUUGGAGUUUUUAAUUCACCAUAGGUCUGCCAGCAGAAUGGAUCAUAUAGAUGGUAUUUUUCUUGAACUGGUUGUAACUGAAUAGUGGUUAAAGAAACAUCUACACAAGGAAGACUAUCACUACAGGCAAAGUGAACUGGUUUAACUGUCUUCUUUUAUCGCAGUAGAAUUGGUCAAUCACAAUUGGGAGUUGAACUUCAGAAACCUGUAUAUUUGAGAAUAGUACUCCUUGUACCGAACCUGAUCCACCCUGCAGAUAUGUUACUUAAUUUUAAUGUUUGAGACACAGGCUCGGGUGUUAUCCUUUCCUAGACCUCCAAUACUGAUUCCAUGCCCUGGUCCACAGUUGACAUUGUGUAUGUAUACGUUUGAGCAUCCAGUUUGUAUGGAAAUACAGUCAUCUCCUGCACAACGAUGCAACCAUUUUUGCCCCCAAGUUUUAUCUGUUGAGAACUUUGGCUCAGUUUGUAAAGGAUCAUUGGAUAUGCUAUUUUCUAAUAAAGACAAGAAUAAUGGAAGAUAUACAAGAAGAAUUAAAAGAGUAUAGUAUACAAUUGGAUGAUUCAGUGUGGAUUUUGGGCUUGACACGUGCCAUGUAAUUAUGACUGAUUUUUAAAGCAUUGGGAGAUUGUCUGUUGCUAUGUGUCCAACAUGUGUGGGGAUAGGAUAAGAUAAUGUCUUGCCCCUUUGAGGUUCAUAUAACAUGCAUCCAAGCUUUGUUUUUCUCUUUUUUUCUUUUGUUUUCAAUUUUUAUUUUCACUUUCUUUUUUGUCCCUAUCUACAACAUUGACUUUUUUAUUACUCCAUGCUCAAACUUAGCUUAUAGCCUCUGUUG